This is a long non-coding RNA of Callithrix jacchus (white-tufted-ear marmoset), 1066 nucleotides long. RefSeq lists it as uncharacterized. The record is from RefSeq and is a predicted model, not a curated record. Lineage: Eukaryota; Metazoa; Chordata; Mammalia; Primates; Cebidae.
GCUAUUACAGAACACCACAGACUAAGUAGUUUACAAACAAUGGAAAUUUAUUUCUCACUGUUCUGGCGGCUAUGAAAUUCAAGAGCAAGGUUGGACUCUUGGUCCAAGAUCAAGGAGGGCAGUUUUGGUGUCUGGUGAGGGCCUGGUGUCCUCUUCCAAGAUGGUGCCCUGAACGCUGCAUCCUCUACAGAGAAGUGCUAUUUCUCAUAUGGCAGAAGAGGAGAAGAGCCAAGAGAAAAAACUCAUUCCUGAAAGUGGUUUUAUGAAGGCAUUAAACCCAUCCAUGAGGUAGUCCUUCUCUGUCACCCAGGCUGGAGUGCAGUGGUACAAUCUCGGUUGACUGCAAUCUCCACUUCUCACAUUCAAAUGAUUCUCCAGCCUCAGCCUCCCCAGUAACUGGGAUUACAGGUGCAUGCCACUGUGUCUAAUUUUGUAUUUUUAGUCGAUAUGGGAUUUCACCAUGUUGGCCAGGCUUAUCUUGAACUCCUGACUUCAAAUGAUCCUCCUGCCUUGGCCUCCCCAAAUCUUGGGAUUACAGGCGUGAGCCACCGCGUCCAGCCUCCAUGUGAUGCUUGAAACACAUUUAUUCUAUUCUCCUGAUGCUGUGACAGGAAAGAAACUGUAUUGUUACUUCUACUACCUGGGGAAAAAUAGCUGAUUAGCUAGUUUUGACUUUAAGACUAUUCUCAAAUCGUUCUCUGAGAACAUGUCUUCGCCUUUUUUCAAUGACAGAGAAAUAAGACCAUCACAUGCUUUCCAUUAUCGUUAAUGACUCUUCUAAUGAUUUGAUGCCUGAUGCCUUUAAUUUUUAUUUUCGAAAAGACAUCUACUACUGACACUAAGUCUCUUUGUUGUUCACUGUAAAUUUCCCUUGAGGCAUGUGUUUUUGUUUAAAGAGGCAUAAAUAAAUAAUCAAUAAAUCAAAGUUCAUAGUACAAAGUGGACUGAAGUCAAAUGACUUCUAUGCUUCCAACAGAGCGAUAUAAUAAGUGAAUAUAGAGUAUUUACUGUAUAAUGCAAUAUCAAUAAUUAAAAACCUGUUUAAGAAUAAAAAAUAUAAAAUGGA